GAUUAUGGCUCAGGAUGAACGCUGGCGGCGUGCCUAACACAUGCAAGUCGAACGGGGUUAAGGGAAAUUUCGGAUGGAACUUAACUAGUGGCGGACGGGUGAGUAACGCGUGGAUAACCUGCCUCACACUGGGGGAUAGCAGCUGGAAACGGCUGGUAAUACCGCAUAAGACCACGAUGCCGCAUGGCACCGGGGUAAAAGAUUUAUCGGUGUGAGAUGGAUCCGCGUCUGAUUAGCCAGUUGGCGGGUAACGGCCCACCAAAGCGACGAUCAGUAGCCGGCCUGAGAGGGUGAACGGCCACAUUGGGACUGAGACACGGCCCAAACUCCUACGGGAGGCAGCAGUGGGGAAUAUUGCACAAUGGGCGCAAGCCUGAUGCAGCAAACCGCCGCGUGAGUGAAGAAGUAUUUCGGUAUGUAAAGCUCCAUCGGCAGGGAAGAAAGGCCCGAAAGGGAGAUGGCGGUACCUGACUAAGAAGCCCCGGCUAACUACGUGCCAGCCGCCGC
Molecule: ribosomal RNA, 507 nt
Filed under: uncultured bacterium
Lineage: Bacteria
Description: bacterial SSU rRNA
Rfam family: Bacterial small subunit ribosomal RNA
Source: RNAcentral